This 240-nucleotide ribosomal RNA is filed under the name uncultured Lactobacillus sp. RNAcentral describes it as "partial 16S ribosomal RNA". It matches the Rfam family "Bacterial small subunit ribosomal RNA", at positions 122 to 354 of the family's 1533-position model. The record is from RNAcentral. Lineage: Bacteria; Bacillati; Bacillota; Bacilli; Lactobacillales; Lactobacillaceae.
UAACCUGCCCAAGAGAUCGGGAUAACACCUGGAAACAGAUGCUAAUACCGGAUAACAACAGAUGAUGCCUAUCAACUGUUUAAAAGAUGGUUCUGCUAUCACUCUUGGAUGGACCUGCGGUGCAUUAGCCAGUUGGUAGGGUAACGGCCUACCAAGGCGAUGAUGCAUAGCCGAGUUGAGAGACUGAUCGGCCACAUUGGGACUGAGACACGGCCCAAACUCCUACGGGAGGCAGCAGGC